Non-coding RNA from Brachypodium distachyon (stiff brome), 125 nucleotides. The record is from Rfam. NCBI's taxonomy places the organism in Eukaryota, Viridiplantae, Streptophyta, Magnoliopsida, Poales, Poaceae.
UUUUUACGCCCUCCGUCUAACAAAGGAUGCCUCAACUUUGAUUAAAUUUGAAUGCAUCUAUACACUAGAUACAUUCAAAUUUCAGCAAACUUGAGACAUCCUUUGUUGGACGGAGGGAGUAUUUA